Molecule: long non-coding RNA, 324 nt
Organism: Lolium rigidum
Lineage: Eukaryota; Viridiplantae; Streptophyta; Magnoliopsida; Poales; Poaceae
Exons: 2
Source: RefSeq, a predicted model, not a curated record
GUUUCCAGAUGGCAGUGUCUGCAAUGAGACACGUCCUGGGGGAUAACAAGGAAGGCCAUGACAUUGAGGUGGGAGUUGUCAGGAAGAGCUCUCCAGCGUUCAGAACUGUGUUGAAGCGUCUCCACAAAUAUCCACAAGGAGCGCAGAGUACCCUGGAUCAAUGGCGGUAGUAAUUUGUGGAUUUGCUCAAGUGAUUGACAUUACUGCAAUGUCUUGUGUCCUGUAGCGUUUCGUGUGGGAUGCCAUUUCAAUCAGACGACCACGAAACAGCCUGCUCAUCCAUAGGUCAUUUAUUCUGUUAUUACAUCUCACUGAAUUCUGAAA